Carassius carassius (crucian carp) is the source of this 272-nucleotide long non-coding RNA. RefSeq lists it as uncharacterized. The transcript is spliced from 3 exons. NCBI's taxonomy places the organism in Eukaryota, Metazoa, Chordata, Actinopteri, Cypriniformes, Cyprinidae. The record is from RefSeq and is a predicted model, not a curated record.
CACAUUUCCCAUCAUACACUGCAGGACAAAGAUAAAGAAAAUGUGAAGACUCUUACUCUCUGCUCCACAGACUUGCGUGCUUGUACAGUCAUCCACAUAAUUCUUGACGACGACUUCCUUUGUGUCAUAAUCAUGACAUUGAGUGACAAAACCAGAAACUGAACUGAAAACUGCUGCAGAAAGUGAACAAAGAUAAAAUGUUGCUUCAGGCCGUGUGAAUAAAACAGCGUCCCCAUGCAGUGAUGUUGGAAGAGAUGUCUAUCUGACAAGAG